UGCUAAUAACCGGAAUAACAACAAGAUGAUGCCUAUCAACUAGUUUAAAAGUAAUGGUUCUGCUAUCACUCUUGGAUGGACCUGCGGUGCAUUAGCUAGUUGGUAGGGUAACGGCCUACCAAGGCGAUGAUGCAUAGCCGAGUUGAGAGACUGAUCGGCCACAUUGGGACUGAGACACGGCCCAAACUCCUACGGGAGGGCAGCAGGC
Molecule: ribosomal RNA, 208 nt
Filed under: uncultured Lactobacillus sp.
Lineage: Bacteria; Bacillati; Bacillota; Bacilli; Lactobacillales; Lactobacillaceae
Description: partial 16S ribosomal RNA
Rfam family: Bacterial small subunit ribosomal RNA
Source: RNAcentral